Molecule: ribosomal RNA, 441 nt
Filed under: uncultured Enterobacteriaceae bacterium
Lineage: Bacteria; Pseudomonadati; Pseudomonadota; Gammaproteobacteria; Enterobacterales; Enterobacteriaceae
Description: bacterial SSU rRNA
Rfam family: Bacterial small subunit ribosomal RNA
Source: RNAcentral
GUGGUUAAUUCGAUGCAACGCCGAAGAACCUUACCUGGUCUUGACAUCCACGGAAGUUUCAGAGAUGAGAAUGUGCCUUCGGGAACCGUGAGACAGGUGCUGCAUGGCUGUCGUCAGCUCGUGUUGUGAAAUGUUGGGUUAAGUCCCGCAACGAGCGCAACCCUUAUCCCUUUGUUGCCAGCGGUCCGGCCGGGAACUCAAAGGAGACUGCCAGUGAUAAACUGGAGGAAGGUGGGGAUGACGUCAAGUCAUCAUGGCCCUUACGACCAGGGCUACACACGUGCUACAAUGGCGCAUACAAAGAGAAGCGACCUCGCGAGAGCAAGCGGACCUCAUAAAGUGCGUCGUAGUCCGGAUUGGAGUCUGCAACUCGACUCCAUGAAGUCGGAAUCGCUAGUAAUCGUGGAUCAGAAUGUCACGGUGAAUACGUUCCCGGGUCUU